RNAcentral lists this long non-coding RNA (250 nucleotides) under Manihot esculenta (cassava). RNAcentral's name for it is "long non-coding RNA (MESC_LNC010713)". The record is from RNAcentral. Lineage: Eukaryota; Viridiplantae; Streptophyta; Magnoliopsida; Malpighiales; Euphorbiaceae.
AAGUCACAACCAAGAAGAAAGGGUUAAAAACAGAAAAACAGACAUUUUAGUCGCUAUUAAAAGAUAUGAGACUUGAUCUCUCAGACAAUUAGCUAAGAAUUGAGCUCACAACUUAAGACUGAUUCAGUGGGGAAAAAGCUUAUGAAUGAGAAUACGUAGUGUAAAUAUUACAAGUAUGAAAAGCAGAGAUAAAUAUGAAGAACAAGAAUAGUUCAAGGAAAAAGGAAUCAAAGUUUCAUUAAAAUAGCUG